CUUCCUUUCAUUCAGCUCGUCAGCUGGUCGACGCCGAGCCUCAAUGCUGUAGCAAUCACCGCCCUUGUUGAGCGAUGGAGGACGGAGACACACAGUUUCCAUCUUCGGACCAGGGAGAUGACCGUGAUGCUCCAGGAUAUCGCUAUGAUCGUCGGUCUUCCUAUCGAGGGAAAUCCUCUCUCUAUGAGCACCGAUUCUGAUGGGUGGUGCCAGAAAAUGGAGGCCCUUAUCGGUAUGUCUCCUCUAGAGCCUCUGAAACCAGAAGGAGACAAGAAGAAGGAAAGAGUCGCAAUCGCUGCUCCUUUCACUUUGGACAAUGCCCUGAUCAUGCUAGCAAUGAAGUGGUCCAGACAUGCGCUCGUGUCUACAUGUGGUACGUUAUCUCUAGGACUCUAUUUGCUGACGCCACGGGGCAAGAAUGCUCCAUCACUACAAAAGAAAUACACUUCCGUGAUGAUACGUGUUUGUCACAGUAGGUCGCGUUUUUUGUCAUGCAUGUACAUCCAUGACGAUUUUAUGACAGAAUCAAUAUAG
This 534-nucleotide ribosomal RNA is filed under the name Triticum aestivum (bread wheat). Its description in RNAcentral is "partial small subunit ribosomal RNA". The record is from RNAcentral. Lineage: Eukaryota; Viridiplantae; Streptophyta; Magnoliopsida; Poales; Poaceae.